This 451-nucleotide ribosomal RNA is filed under the name uncultured bacterium. Its description in RNAcentral is "partial 16S ribosomal RNA". It matches the Rfam family "Bacterial small subunit ribosomal RNA", at positions 354 to 796 of the family's 1533-position model. The record is from RNAcentral.
GUGGGGAAUAUUGGACAAUGGGCGAAAGCCUGAUCCAGCCAUGCCGCGUGUGUGAAGAAGGCCUUUUGGUUGUAAAGCACUUUAAGCGAGGAGGAGGCUACCGAGAUUAAUACUCUUGGAUAGUGGACGUUACUCGCAGAAUAAGCACCGGCUAACUCUGUGCCAGCAGCCGCGGUAAUACAGAGGGUGCGAGCGUUAAUCGGAUUUACUGGGCGUAAAGCGUGCGUAGGCGGCUUUUUAAGUCGGAUGUGAAAUCCCUGAGCUUAACUUAGGAAUUGCAUUCGAUACUGGGAAGCUAGAGUAUGGGAGAGGAUGGUAGAAUUCCAGGUGUAGCGGUGAAAUGCGUAGAGAUCUGGAGGAAUACCGAUGGCGAAGGCAGCCAUCUGGCCUAAUACUGACGCUGAGGUACGAAAGCAUGGGGAGCAAACAGGAUUAGAUACCCGAGUAGUCC